CCUCUGUAAUUCAACAGGAGCCGAUCAAUCUACCCGGCUACCUGACUGAGCAUAGUAAAAUAAUAAAGCCUUGGAAGAGCCGCUAGUCGGCGAAACACGCGUCUGGACUUUUGAUAGCAUAAGGGUGGAGGAGGUGGACAGGGGACUUAGCUGCAGCCUUUAGAUUUAUUUUCCUCCGUGUUAGCCACCCAGCUCAAUUAUUUUACUAUGCUCAGUCAGGUAGCCGGGUAGAUUGAUCGGCUCCUGUUGAAUUACAGAGGGGAAUGAGAGUGUGC
Pelobates cultripes (western spadefoot toad) is the source of this 275-nucleotide non-coding RNA. Lineage: Eukaryota; Metazoa; Chordata; Amphibia; Anura; Pelobatidae. The record is from the annotation of a GenBank genome assembly.